UACGGGGGGAGCAAACGUUGUUCGGAAUCACUGGGCGUAAAGGGCGCGUAGGCGGCCUGUUAAGUCGAACGUGAAAUCCCCGGGCUCAACCCGGGAACUGCGUCCGAUACUGGCAGGCUUGAAUCCGGGAGAGGGAUGUGGAAUUCCAGGUGUAGCGGUGAAAUGCGUAGAUAUCUGGAGGAACACCGGUGGCGAAGGCGGCAUCCUGGACCGGUAUUGACGCUGAGGCGCGAAAGCCAGGGGAGCAAACGGG
Molecule: ribosomal RNA, 253 nt
Filed under: uncultured bacterium
Lineage: Bacteria
Description: partial 16S ribosomal RNA
Rfam family: Bacterial small subunit ribosomal RNA
Source: RNAcentral